Molecule: ribosomal RNA, 484 nt
Filed under: uncultured bacterium
Lineage: Bacteria
Description: partial 16S ribosomal RNA
Rfam family: Bacterial small subunit ribosomal RNA
Source: RNAcentral
AUUGAACGCUGGCGGCAGGCCUAACACAUGCAAGUCGAGCGGAUGAAGGGAGCUUGCUCCUGGAUUCAGCGGCGGACGGGUGAGUAAUGCCUAGGAAUCUGCCUGGUAGUGGGGGAUAACGUCCGGAAACGGGCGCUAAUACCGCAUACGUCCUGAGGGAGAAAGUGGGGGAUCUUCGGACCUCACGCUAUCAGAUGAGCCUAGGUCGGAUUAGCUAGUUGGUGGGGUAAAGGCCUACCAAGGCAACGAUCCGUAACUGGUCUGAGAGGAUGAUCAGUCACACUGGAACUGAGACACGGUCCAGACUCCUACGGGAGGCAGCAGUGGGGAAUAUUGGACAAUGGGCGAAAGCCCGAUCCAGCCAUGCCGCGUGUGUGAAGAAGGUCUUCGGAUUGUAAAGCACUUUAAGUUGGGAGGAAGGGCAGUAAGUUAAUACCUGGCUGUUUUGACGUUACCAACAGAAUAAGCACCGGCUAACUUCGUG